This 464-nucleotide long non-coding RNA is filed under the name Prunus persica (peach). RNAcentral describes it as "long non-coding RNA (PPER_LNC003287)". Lineage: Eukaryota; Viridiplantae; Streptophyta; Magnoliopsida; Rosales; Rosaceae. The record is from RNAcentral.
UGGGCAUGGCUGCUGGACCAGGGGAACAGCUGGGCGCGUCUUGGGCCGCAGGGCUGGAGUGAACGGAGCAGGCCUGUGCUGGGAUGGGAUGCGAGCUAGGCCGGAGCGCGAACUGAGCUGGAGGCGCGAACUGGGCUGCUGCAUCAAUAGGCCACGUGUGCUGUGCGCCAAGUGGGCUCGGGCUGGCAGGUGCUGGGCGCCUCUGCAGAUUGGGCUGCAGCUUGUUGGACCCCUUUUUGCUACUUUUUUUUUUGUUGCUGUUUUUGUUGUUGUUCACGAACUAGGAAUUUUAACGCAAUUCCCUUCGCUAUUUUUUGCAGCUGCUCAAUGACCAUGCCUUCUGAAAGAAAGAGCUAAUCACCAAGCUCACAAGUACUAUUGUACCUGUGGGGCGGUUCUCAAGUUCCCAAAGAGAAGUUUGUGGCCAAUUUGCAUCGUGUCACCACCGAGGCCCAGUUCAAAAC